Molecule: ribosomal RNA, 429 nt
Filed under: Gemmatimonadota bacterium
Lineage: Bacteria; Pseudomonadati; Gemmatimonadota
Description: Gemmatimonadetes bacterium partial 16S ribosomal RNA
Rfam family: Bacterial small subunit ribosomal RNA
Source: RNAcentral
UAGGGAAUCUUCGGCAAUGGACGAAAGUCUGACCGAGCAACGCCGCGUGAGUGAAGAAGGUUUUCGGAUCGUAAAACUCUGUUGUUAGAGAAGAACAAGGACGUUAGUAACUGAACGUCCCCUGACGGUAUCUAACCAGAAAGCCACGGCUAACUACGUGCCAGCAGCCGCGGUAAUACGUAGGUGGCAAGCGUUGUCCGGAUUUAUUGGGCGUAAAGCGAGCGCAGGCGGUUUCUUAAGUCUGAUGUGAAAGCCCCCGGCUCAACCGGGGAGGGUCAUUGGAAACUUGGAGACUUGAGUGCAGAAGAGGAGAGUGGAAUUCCAUGUGCAGCGGUGAAAUGCGUAGAUAUAUGGAGGAACACCAGUGGCGAAGGCGGCUCUCUGGUCUGUAACUGACGCUGAGGCUCGAAAGCGUGGGGAGCAAACAGG